UCCCCUGAAUUCAUUUGCUGUGGCAAAUAUGGCUUCCUUAAAAUCUGCUGUUUAUGAAAAUACAGGACACAACAAAAAGACAGCUGUCUGCAAGUCAUGAAGACAGCCAUUACCAGGAACCAAACUGAAUGGUACCUUGAUCUUGUGCUUUUCGGUCUCGAGAGCUGUGAGAAACAAAUGCCUGCUGUUCAAAUUGUCCAGCCUAUGGUAUUUUGUUACGGCAGUCUGAGCUGACCAAGAUAACCGGAAACCUAGAAAAAAAACUGAGAGACUAGAUAACACAUGCUCCAGAAAAAAAAGUACUUGAUCCAGAAAAAGAACACCUAUGAAUAUUUAUGAAGAGCAUAAUUUUACAGAGGAACACCCAAGUAAUGGUCACAGGAAUUGAAGAGCUUGCAAGGGUCAAGCGCUAAUCAGUGAUGGAACUUGGUUUUAAACUCCAUUAUUUCCUGCAGCAGAGUCUACAUCCUCAAAUGUUUCACCAUGCCAUCUACAGUCUGAUGUGCUUUCCAGAUUUCUCACCAUUCCACUUGAUCUCCUUUAAAUGACUUUGAUUUGAGAGUGUGCAUCUUCAAAUAUAGUGCUCAGAACUGGAUGCAAUGCUCACAAUAUCAUGUGACCAGCACUAAGUCGAUACAAGUUUAUUCCUUUGAAUUUGUCCUGGCGUUUGACAAGGAUAUUGUGGAUAUUAAAGAUAUUUAUUUCACA
This 708-nucleotide long non-coding RNA is filed under the name Homo sapiens (human). RNAcentral's name for it is "HSALNT0321128". Lineage: Eukaryota; Metazoa; Chordata; Mammalia; Primates; Hominidae. The record is from RNAcentral.